GACAGAGGUGCCGAGCGUUAGGCGGAAUCACUGGGCUUAAAGCGUGUGUAGGCGGGUCGUUAAGUACCUUGUGAAAUCCCCCGGCUCAACCGGGGAACGGCUGGGUAUACUGGCGAUCUUGAGCCACCUAGGGGCAGUCGGAACAAGUGGUGGAGCGGUGAAAUGCGUAGAUAUCGGGAGGAACACCGGUGGCGAAGGCGGUUCUCUGGGCCUGACCUGACGCUGAGGAGCGAAAGCGUGGGGAGCGAACAGG
RNAcentral lists this ribosomal RNA (253 nucleotides) under uncultured bacterium. Its description in RNAcentral is "partial 16S ribosomal RNA". It matches the Rfam family "Bacterial small subunit ribosomal RNA", at positions 524 to 776 of the family's 1533-position model. The record is from RNAcentral.